AGCUUUGCGCAGUGGCAGUAUCGUAGCCAAUGAGGUUUAUCCGAGGCGCGAUUAUUGCUAAUUGAAAACUUUUCCCAGAAAGUUUGUAUAAUUUGCAAUAGUGCUUAAAUUAUAAAGUAAAGUGGAAAAAGGCUAUAGAAU
Molecule: small nuclear RNA, 141 nt
Organism: Cervus hanglu yarkandensis (Yarkand deer)
Lineage: Eukaryota; Metazoa; Chordata; Mammalia; Artiodactyla; Cervidae
Gene: U4
Rfam family: U4 spliceosomal RNA
About the family: U4 small nuclear RNA (U4 snRNA) is a component of the major U2-dependent spliceosome. The structure of U4 snRNA from yeast and human has been reported.
Source: Ensembl